RNAcentral lists this ribosomal RNA (403 nucleotides) under bacterium. RNAcentral's name for it is "partial 16S ribosomal RNA". It matches the Rfam family "Bacterial small subunit ribosomal RNA", at positions 355 to 776 of the family's 1533-position model. The record is from RNAcentral.
UGGGGAAUAUUGCACAAUGGGGGAAACCCUGAUGCAGCGACGCCGCGUGAACGAAGAAGGUAUUCGUAUCGUAAAGUUCUGUCCUAUGGGAAGAUAAUGACAGUACCAUAGAAGAAAGCUCCGGCUAAAUACGUGCCAGCAGCCGCGGUAAUACGUAUGGAGCGAGCGUUGUCCGGAAUUAUUGGGCGUAAAGGGUACGCAGGCGGUUUAAUAAGUCGAAUGUUAAAGAUCGGGGCUCAACCCCGCAAAGCAUUGGAAACUGAUAAACUUGAGUAGUGGAGAGGAAAGUGGAAUUACUAGUGUAGUGGUGAAAUACGUAGAUAUUAGGAGGAAUACCAGUAGCGAAGGAGACUUUCUGGACACAAACUGACGCUGAGGUACGAAAGAGUGGGGAGCAAACAGG